Molecule: ribosomal RNA, 120 nt
Filed under: Pteropus alecto (black flying fox)
Lineage: Eukaryota; Metazoa; Chordata; Mammalia; Chiroptera; Pteropodidae
Source: RNAcentral
GUCUAUGCGCCAUGCUACCCUGAACAUGCCCGAUCCCGGCUCAUCUCGGAAGCUGAGCAGGGUGGGGCCUGGUUAGUACUUGGAUGGGAGACCACCUAGGAAGACCAGGUGCUGUAGGCG